RNAcentral lists this ribosomal RNA (831 nucleotides) under Triticum aestivum (bread wheat). RNAcentral's name for it is "partial small subunit ribosomal RNA". The record is from RNAcentral. Lineage: Eukaryota; Viridiplantae; Streptophyta; Magnoliopsida; Poales; Poaceae.
AUGGAGAUGAUUCACAAGGGAUCCUUGGACUUGGUGCUGGUCCCUUGUGGGCUUGCGAUCAUGCUCGGCUACCACCUCCUCCUCCUCUACCGCAUCCUUCGCCAUCCGCACACCACGGUCAUCGGCUACGAGAACCACAACAAGCUCGCCUGGGUACAACGCAUGGUGCAGUGCUGGUUCUUCUGGCUGAUAGCCGCGGUUCAUGCCUGCCCGCAGACGACGGCGCCGGAGGAGGCGGCCCUGGCGCUGAGCGUGAUCUCCGACAGCAUCUCGGCGUCCACCACGCUGGCGUCGCUCUGCAUCGCGCUGGGCUCGCUGAUCGGCGCGUGGGUGAGCAGCAACGCCUCGCCCUCGGCGCCGCUCACGGCCGGCGGCGACGGCGGCGCCAGCCAGCCGGCGACGACGGGGAUGGCGUCGGCCAAGUUCACGUCGCUCCUCGUCUGCUUCCUGGCCUCCUUCGCCUGCUUCAUCCAGUCCGCGGGGCACUACGUGCACGCCAGCUUCCUCAUGUCCGCGCUGGGGUUGGACGCGCCGGCGAGCCACGUGCAGCGCGCGGUGAUCCUGGGCGGCAACUUCUGGGCGCUGGGGCUCCGGGCGCUCUACUUCGCCACGGCGCUGCUCAUGUGGGUGUUCGGCCCGGUGGCCAUGCUCGCCUGCUCCGUGCUCACGGUGGCCGUGCUGCACCUGCUCGACACCAGCUCCAUGCCGCUCCACCACCACCAGUUCGUGGACAGAACGAGCGUCGCCGGGGGAGCCAGAGCGGCCAGCGCUCCGAACCCGGGGCUCCAUAGCGCGGUCGCGGUGUUCUCGCCGGCACCGUAUCUCAGGUGA